RNAcentral lists this ribosomal RNA (253 nucleotides) under uncultured bacterium. Its description in RNAcentral is "partial 16S ribosomal RNA". It matches the Rfam family "Bacterial small subunit ribosomal RNA", at positions 524 to 776 of the family's 1533-position model. The record is from RNAcentral.
UACGUAGGUGACAAGCGUUGUCCGGAUUUACUGGGCGUAAAGAGCGCGCAGGCGGUCGAUCAAGUCGAGUGUGAAAGCCCCCGGCUCAACUGGGGAGGGUCAUUCGAUACUGAUCGACUCGAAGGCAGGAGAGGGUAGUGGAAUUCCCGGUGUAGUGGUGAAAUGCGUAGAUAUCGGGAGGAACACCAGCGGCGAAGGCGGCCCCCUGGGCCGCUCCUGACGCUGAGACGCGAAGGCCAGGGUAGCGAACGGG